Molecule: ribosomal RNA, 383 nt
Filed under: uncultured eukaryote
Lineage: Eukaryota
Description: partial 18S ribosomal RNA
Rfam family: Eukaryotic small subunit ribosomal RNA
Source: RNAcentral
CAAUAGCGUAUAUUAAAGUUGUUGCAGUUAAAAAGCUCGUAGUUGGAUUUCUGGUGGGAGCGAUCGGUCUGGCGCUUAGCGCGAGUACUUGCAUCGUCUCCGGCCAUCCUUGGGGAGAGUCUGUCUGGCAUUAGGUUGUCGGGCAGAGGAUCCUCAUCGUUUACUGUGAAAAAAUUAGAGUGUUCAAAGCAGGCUUAUGCCGUUGAAUAUGUUAGCAUAGAAUAAUAAGAUAGGACUUUGGUACUAUUUUGUUGGUUUGCGCACCAAAGUAAUGAUUAAUAGGGACAGUUGGGGGUAUUCGUAUUCCGUUGUCAGAGGUGAAAUUCUUGGAUUUACGGAAGACGAACUACUGCGAAAGCAUUUACCAAGGAUGUUUUCAUUAA